GUGGAUUAGAUACCCUGGUAGUCCACGCCGUAAACGUUGGGCGCUAGGUGUGGGGUCCUUCCACGGACUCCGUGCCGCAGCUAACGCAUUAAGCGCCCCGCCUGGGGAGUACGGCCGCAAGGCUAAAACUCAAAGGAAUUGACGGGGGCCCGCACAAGCGGCGGAGCAUGUUGCUUAAUUCGAUGCAACGCGAAGAACCUUACCAAGGUUUGACAUGCAGGGAAAAGCCGUAGAGAUACGGUGUCCGUAAGGGUCCUGCACAGGUGGUGCAUGGCCGUCGUCAGCU
Molecule: ribosomal RNA, 286 nt
Filed under: uncultured bacterium
Lineage: Bacteria
Description: partial 16S ribosomal RNA
Rfam family: Bacterial small subunit ribosomal RNA
Source: RNAcentral